Molecule: ribosomal RNA, 1229 nt
Filed under: metagenome
Description: bacterial SSU rRNA
Rfam family: Bacterial small subunit ribosomal RNA
Source: RNAcentral
UGUACCAUUAGCUAGUAGGUAGGGUAAAGGCCUACCUAGGCAACGAUGGUUAGCGGGUCUGAGAGGAUGAUCCGCCACACUGGAACUGGAACACGGACCAGACUCCUACGGGAGGCAGCAGUGAGGAAUAUUGCGCAAUGGGGGAAACCCUGACGCAGCGACGCCGCGUGGGUGAUGAAGGCCUUCGGGUUGUAAAGCCCUGUCAGGUGGGAAGAAGUGCAUAAUGGCUAAUAUCCAUUAUGUUUGACGGUACCACCAAAGGAAGCACCGGCUAACUCCGUGCCAGCAGCCGCGGUAAUACGGAGGGUGCAAGCGUUGUUCGGAUUUACUGGGCGUAAAGGGCGCGUAGGCGGUCUUAUAAGCCAGAUGUGAAAGCCCACGGCUCAACCGUGGAAGUGCAUCUGGAACUGUGAGACUUGAGUAUGGGAGAGGAAAGUGGAAUUCCCGGUGUAGAGGUGAAAUUCGUAGAUAUCGGGAGGAAUACCGGUGGCGAAGGCGACUUUCUGGACCAAUACUGACGCUGAGGCGCGAAAGCGUGGGUAGCAAACAGGAUUAGAUAUCCUGGUAGUCCACAGCUGUAAACGAUGAUAACUAGGUAUAGGGGGUGUUGACCCCUUCUGUGCCGCAGCUAACGCAUUAAGUUAUCCGCCUGGGGAGUACGGUCGCAAGAUUAAAACUCAAAGGAAUUGACGGGGGCCCGCACAAGCGGUGGAGUAUGUGGUUUAAUUCGACGCAACGCGCAGAACCUUACCUGGUCUUGACAUCCCGAGAAUUUUCUAGAAAUAGUUAAGUGCCUCUUCACAGAGGAGCUUGGAGACAGGUGCUGCAUGGCUGUCGUCAGCUCGUGUCGCGAGAUGUUGGGUUAAGUCCCGCAACGAGCGCAACCCCCGCCUUUAGUUGCCAUCGUUAAGUUGGGCACUCUAGAGGGACUGCCGGUGUCAAACCGGAGGAAGGUGGGGAUGACGUCAAGUCCUCAUGGCCUUUAUGACCAGGGCUACACACGUACUACAAUGGCCGGUACAAAGGGCAGCGACACAGCGAUGUGGAGCGAAUCCCAUAAAGCCGGUCUCAGUCCGGAUUGGAGUCUGCAACUCGACUCCAUGAAGUUGGAAUCGCUAGUAAUCGUGGAUCAGCAUGCCACGGUGAAUACGUUCCCGGGCCUUGUACACACCGCCCGUCACACCACGAGAGUCGGUUGUACCAGAAGGCGUUGGGCUAACCCGCAAGGG